This is a long non-coding RNA of Monodon monoceros (narwhal), 4273 nucleotides long. Lineage: Eukaryota; Metazoa; Chordata; Mammalia; Artiodactyla; Monodontidae. The record is from Ensembl.
UGCUGCUUGAAUCUGUUUGCAGAUGCAGUGAAAUGGGCCAGUAGCCAGUGUUUUCUGCCCUCCCUCUCCUGCACUCCCCGCUUUGGUGGCGGAUUCCCCAGGGAUGAGGCGUCUGUCUUCCUGGCUGUAUGAUUGCACACCGCACGAUCGGAAUCUUUCCAUAAUCUCUGAUUCACUUUUUCUGCCCUUCCAGUGGAGUCAGAUGAAGUCGGUGUCUGGAAUCCUUAGAGAAGCAUGAAAAUACAGUGUACAUACUGUUAUGUAUGUGUGUGAAAUGUUUUAUAAUCAAGAGUGUGUGGUGAGGCCAUGAUAAUAAUAUUUAGAAUAUAGCAAGUUCCUAUUGCCUUGAGAGGUAAAACAUAAUUGGCCUGUAUACUUUCUUCUUUCAUGGGCUUUUCAUUGGCAUUGCAAUGGUUUAACUUUUGGCUUCAAAGCCUGGAAGGAAAUGCUGGGAUCUGUUUACAUAGACAUUUACAAGGAAUGGAAACGUUUCUAUAGUCUAAGCACUGCUCCUUGAGCUAUAAUGUUUUAAUCUUGAGGUUAUUAUUUUUUUAAUGACAAGUUCUGUAUUGGCUCCCUUUGGAUAAUAAAGGCAUCUCAAAAUGCAUUGAAGAUAUUUACAAAGCUUUUCCACGACCUCAUUUGAAAAAUGGGGUUUGUCCCACAGGUCACAUUUCCUGUCCCACCUUCCACCUGCCCACGGAAGCUUGUGGCUGUCCAGGAGUGAAACACUCGACAUUGUAACUUUGAAAAAUUUUGUAGCAACUUAAACAGAUUGAAGAAAGGAUGAGUCCUCAGGCAUUUGGAUUCUUUUCCUGUUUCUUUUCCUUUUCUUUUUUUCUUUAUAUGCAAAUAAUAAUUAUUAGUCCAAGUCAAUCUGUUAAAAAAGCGUUCUCAUCAGUCACAAGCAAGACGCAGUCCCCUCGUUCAGUGUCAUCUGGUAAGAACUCAUCACACACCCUCACCCCCGUUCUCAGCAUCGUGCCAGGCUGGGCAAAUAGUAGGAAUGUCCAGUUCUCUGUUAUUCCCAGGUGGUGCUGGCUGAUUUUUAUCCCUAACAACCAGAUAAAUGUGCUGGUAGAAACACGACUGGGACCUCUGAGUCACACACUGUCUCCAUCUGCACCUUCUCCAGCUGCAGUUAACCGUUUCCUGUUGCUCCAGAGAUGUCUUCGUGUCCCUGCCUUUGGGUCUUUGGAUGGCCUGUUACAUGCAUCCCUACUUGCAGGUGGGACAGAAAGACCGGUCUGGGGCUGCCCUUCUCCCCUCAACACACACGUGAAGCAGCUUUUUCUUUGCAGUGACUGCACACAGGAGGCCCGGCCAGUCUGGUCAGCUCCAUCCUUACGGUGACUCCCUGGUUCGGGCUUCACAUCCAGACUGCUGCUGCCACAGCCCAAGUUCUCCUCCUGCGCCCCCUCAGAUGCAUUCCCCGCACAGCCGCCGGGGCUCUGAUGUGACCAAGGGCGCUGACCGCCGAUGCUGGCCGCCACCUUCACCAGGGUUCCCAGCGCCUCAUCCAUGACCCACGUCCAGAGACCGUGGCCGGUCCUUCCGAGAGCGCAGCUGAUCCACGUGAGAGGUCAGAGCAGAAGCCGGAAGGGAUACAAAGAAUUGCUGUCAUUUGAAAAUAGCUGGGACCCAACACACAUUACCAAAAAAAGUUAUACAAGAAAGUAUUUACAAGACAAAAGUGGAAAAGGGAUUGCAACAUGGAAAAGAAAGCACAAAGCUCACACUCGGAAAAUGAGAGCUCUGCUGUUGCGGGGCGGGGGGAGCAACACUUUAUCCAGCCUGCUGUUCCUAGAUCCGCCAGCAGGUGGCGGCACAGAGCAAUGUCCCUUUUAUUCGCCCAGGCUUUUUUUUUUUAUAGAGCCCAUCGUAAAAUAUAAAAAAGUAAAGGAGAAAACAAAACCGAUCAUUCCGCUGCCCUGAAAUGACCGCCCUUACUUCUUCCUAGUCUUUGUAAAUGUACAUAGUUGAGAUGAUGCCGUAUGUGCGGUUUACCCCAACUUUACAUCUCAAGCACAUCCUAAUACUCUUCAGAAUUCUGUGACCUUUUAGUUUAAUGGCUGUCUAAUGCCCCAUCGUAUGACUGUCCACACUUAUUCCUUUAUGUUGUCAUUUUGGGGUGGUUUUGUCUCGUUAAGAUGAGAUGUAGAUGGGAUAACCAGUGAAGCUUUGUCAAAUUCGACUGAAAGCAGGUUUAGGGAGCGGGUCCUGCGGCAGGUGGGGGGAGGGGGACCGGAAGCCCGUGGAGGCCAAGCUCCAGGCGCACAGGAGAGAGGAGGGAGGGCAAGGAGACAGCUUCAGGUGGACCCACACAAACACCUCAACUGACAUCGGUUUUUAGAGGGAGUGGGGUUGGUGGAACACGUGUGUUACAUUUUCUACCAUCGCGAAUAACAAUGUGCAAUGACAUUUGACGGUCUGUAGACUUGUUAAAAUUGCUUUCAUAAGCCAGCAAGGGUGUGGAGGGUUCAAGACCCAAUUUGAAAGAGGGAUGUGAUGUUUAUCGAGAAAAACGAGGUAGAAGUGGGGCCUGGCCUUUGACCUGAGCCGUGACAGUAGGAUUUGCUUGGCCUGCAUGAGGAAGGCCUAUGGGAAAGCAUUUGUAACAUCCCCCAGAAAGGUGAUUGACUUGGUAACAUGGACAGGCCAAGGGCUUCCUGAGAAGAGCACUGGGGAAUAUUUACACUCAGCAGCCACCCAGGAGCUGCCACAGGGCCUUUUCUGGCCUGAGAACGUCAACCUCAGGGUGAACGCAGGCAUUUCAGCCGGCCUCGUGGUGUGAGCUAAACCCCUUUUUCCUUCUUCCCCGUCUCUGGAAGACUCAGAGCAUACUUAAGGGUGGGUGGCAUCCCGGGGGGCACAUGAAACAACAUGAAAAACACCGCAGAGUGGUGAUUACCUCUUGUUCAGGGUUCACUGCUCCAGGCGUUCCUCGCCCGGUUACCAGGAUGGCCUGAGGACCAGUGGUACUGCUGGCAGGAUCAGGGUGCCUCUCCAGGCUCUGCAGUUAGCAGAAUCCAACUCACAUCCAGAAGUGUGGCUGGAAGGGAGCCCAGGAAACGUGGUUUAUAAUCUUCCUGGUACUGCAGUGUAGGAAAUCCCAUAAAGAGGAGGUGGCGUUCGAGUCCACACACCCACCAUACUCGGUGUUGCUGGAAUACCUUAGCAAAUCUACCACCUGGGACCCCCACAGCCCCAGGGGCUAGUCACUAAUGCCUGUAAAAUAAUCCCCCCAAAGGAGAAUCAUUUCAGUGUUCUUUGGACUUCAAAAGUAGCCAAAGAAUUCAAGUGACAGCUUAUGGCAGAAAAUCUUUUUCAGUUAUUGAAAUUAGGGCAUAACUAAGAACAUUCAGAAUACCACACACACAGUUUAGGUGGUCUUGGUAUAACUGGUAGGGGUGGGACAGCAGUGACUGCAAAAUGAAAGUAGUUAGCAUGUACAUGCUCUGUUAGGGGAGACUAAGGGGAAACAGGUGUUCAGCCUAGAAAAACAUUCUAGUGGAUUUCCUAUGAAGUCAAUGUGUCCUGAGUUUAAUUUUGAAACAAAUUUAAAAAUUGAAAUAAAUUAAUUAAUUAAUUAAAAUCUACCACCUGGGAAAGUGCCUGAUUCCCACACACCAUCACCAGAGCUGUGCUACCACAUUCUUAAUUUCUGCUAACUUGAUACACCAUCUCACUGUUGUAAUCCUGCACUUCUUUAAUUAUGGAUCAGAUUGAAGAGCUUUAGAUUGAUUUACUGGCCAUUUACAUUUUUUCAGUUUUUAUCAGCAUUUGUUAGCUAUGACCUAGUCCACAACAAACUACCACAAAAUUCAGUGGCUUAGAAAACAACUGUUGAUUUCUCCAGAGGCUUCGGGUCCUCCGGUGGUUUGCUGAUCCUACCUGAGCCGGGUGGGUGGCGUCCUGUCGCUUGAGCCAGCCGUGCAGGAUGGAGUCGGCUCUGCUUUGUGUGGGUCCCUUCCUCAGUCAGGCUGGCCCAGGCUUGCUCUCCUGACAGCGGCAGGGAUUGGACAGAGGAAAAAGAGACUCCAGUGCCCUUCUGUCUCUGCCCUGUGUGUGCAGACACUCCCAUCCCAUCAGCCAAAGCAAGUCCUCCUGCCAAGCAGAGCAUGCGCCAGAGGGCACCACCCAGAGCCUGGAUACUGGGAGGCCAUUGACUGAGACCACUGGUGAAAUCAACAUCUUGCAUUAUAUUUGACCGUUGUUUUGUUUGUCUUGAUUUGUGAGAGCCUUUUUUAUACUGAGUGAAUUAGCUCUACAC